Molecule: ribosomal RNA, 1007 nt
Filed under: Coniella vitis
Lineage: Eukaryota; Fungi; Ascomycota; Sordariomycetes; Diaporthales; Schizoparmaceae
Description: eukaryotic LSU rRNA
Rfam family: Eukaryotic large subunit ribosomal RNA
Source: RNAcentral
GAGGAUGUUUCUGGCGCGGUGCCUUCCGAGUUCCCUGGAACGGGACGCCAUAGAGGGUGAGAGCCCCGUAUGGUUGGAUACCAAGCCUGUGUGAAACUCCUUCGACGAGUCGAGUAGUUUGGGAAUGCUGCUCAAAAUGGGAGGUAAAUCUCUUCUAAAGCUAAAUAUUGGCCAGAGACCGAUAGCGCACAAGUAGAGUGAUCGAAAGAUGAAAAGCACCUUGAAAAGGGGGUUAAACAGUACGUGAAAUUGUUGAAAGGGAAGCGCUCAUGACCAGACUUGUGCUGGGCAGCUCAUCCGGGGUUCUCCCCGGUGCAUUCUGCCCAGUUCAGGCCAGCAUCGAUUUUUGCUGGGGGAUAAGAACGGUAGGAACGUGGCCCUCCUUCGGGAGGGUGUUAUAGCCUACCGUACGAUACCCUAGCGGAGAUCGAGGUUCGCGCAUCUGCAAGGAUGCUGGCGUAAUGGUCAUCAGCGACCCGUCUUGAAACACGGACCAAGGAGUCGUCCAUUAGAGCGAGCGUUUGGGUGUAAAACCCGCACGCGUAAUGAAAGUGAAAUUAGGUGAGAGCUUCGGCGCAUCAUCGACCGAUCCUGAUGUUCUCGGAUGGAUUUGAGUAAGAGUUUUAACGGACGGACCCGAAAGACAGUGAACUAUGCUUGUAUAGGGUGAAGCCAGAGGAAACUCUGGUGGAGGCUCGCAGCGGUUCUGACGUGCAAAUCGAUCGUCAAAUAUGAGCAUGGGGGCGAAAGACUAAUCGAACUGUCUAGUAGCUGGUUACCGCCGAAGUUUCCCUCAGGAUAGCAGUGUUGACCUUCAGUUUUAUGAGGUAAAGCGAAUGAUUAGGGACUCGGGGGCGCUUUUUAGCCUUCAUCCAUUCUCAAACUUUAAAUAUGUAAGAAGCCCUUGUUACUUAGUUGAACGUGGGCAUUCGAAUGUAUCAACACUAGUGGGGCCAUUUUUGGUAAGCAGAACUGGCGAUGCGGGAUGAACCGAACGCGGGGUUAAG